UACGUAGGGUGCAAGCGUUGUCCGGAAUUAUUGGGCGUAAAGAGCUCGUAGGCGGUCUGUCGCGUCUGCUGUGAAAACCUAGGGCUUAAACUCUGGGCGUGCAGUGGGUACGGGCAGACUAGAGUGCGGUAGGGGAGACUGGAAUUCCUGGUGUAGCGGUGAAAUGCGCAGAUAUCGGGAGGAACACCGGUGGCGAAGGCG
Molecule: ribosomal RNA, 201 nt
Filed under: uncultured bacterium
Lineage: Bacteria
Description: partial 16S ribosomal RNA
Rfam family: Bacterial small subunit ribosomal RNA
Source: RNAcentral